This 320-nucleotide unclassified non-coding RNA is filed under the name Spiroplasma endosymbiont of Drosophila ananassae. RNAcentral's name for it is "partial contains 16S ribosomal RNA, 16S-23S ribosomal RNA intergenic spacer, and 23S ribosomal RNA". The stretch from base 1 to 112 matches the Rfam family "Bacterial small subunit ribosomal RNA", at positions 1422 to 1533 of the family's 1533-position model. The record is from RNAcentral. Lineage: Bacteria; Bacillati; Mycoplasmatota; Mollicutes; Entomoplasmatales; Spiroplasmataceae.
AGAAGUCGGUGUCCUAACCGCAAGGAGGGAGCUGCCAAAGGCAGGGUUGAUGAUUGGGGUUAAGUCGUAACAAGGUAUCCCUACCGGAAGGUGGGGAUGGAUCACCUCCUUUCUAUGGAGUUUAGUUUCUAAUAAGAAACCAAGACAACAAGAAAAAAUAGAUGGAUGAUUUAUUGGAUUACUUCUUUUGUUCUGUUUAGUUUUCAGGGAUUGUUUUCUCUGAGCAAUUGUUCUUUAAAAACUGGAUAAUAGACAUCUUUUAAAAAAAUAAGAUAAUUUUUAUCUUGCAAUAGGAUAUUCUAAAAAUAAAUUAUUAAGAG